AUGGCUCCAGCUUCCACCUCCCUCCUCCCCGCCGCCAGCUCCAACGCCGGCACCAAGCGCCCGUUCGCCGCGGAAGAUUCCGACGCUACUGAGCUUCCACGGGCACUCCCGCAGGUCCAGGAGAGCGCGCCGGGCAAGAAGAACGGCAGCGGCCAGAGCCAGCAGCAGCAGCAGCAGCAGAAGCUGGAGUGCCCGCGGUGCAGCUCCACCGACACCAAGUUCUGCUACUACAACAACUACAGCACCACGCAGCCGCGCCACUACUGCCGCACCUGCCGCCGCUACUGGACGCAAGGCGGCACGCUGCGCAACGUCCCCGUCGGCGGGGCAUGCCGCCGCCGCGGCAGCAGUAAGCGCUCCGCCGAGCCCCAGACGACCUCCUCUGACUCGCCGCAGCCGGAACUGCACGAGACGCGCCCUCUUUCCAACCACCCGCUCCCAGUCUUCCCGUUCCUCACCGAAGGCGGCCCUGUCUUCCUGCCGCAGUUCGAUCUCGGGCUCGGCGGGUUCCCCUGGACACCGGCGACCACGGACCACCUCUACAACGGGCUCGCGGCCCCGUGGGGUGGCUGCGACCAGGCGCUCGCCUCCACCGGCGCGUGGGACGACUUCGGCGGCCUCGAGCUCGCCUGGCCACCACCGCCACCGGCCGGGAACUGA
Molecule: ribosomal RNA, 660 nt
Filed under: Triticum aestivum (bread wheat)
Lineage: Eukaryota; Viridiplantae; Streptophyta; Magnoliopsida; Poales; Poaceae
Description: partial small subunit ribosomal RNA
Source: RNAcentral